AGCGAACGCUGGCGGCAGGCUUAACACAUGCAAGUCGAACGCAUCACUUCGGUGGUGAGUGGCAGACGGGUGAGUAACACGUGGGAACGUACCCUUCGAUCUGGGAUAACUUCGGGAAACUGGAGCUAAUACCGGAUACGCCCUUUUGGGGAAAGGUUUACUGUCGAAGGAUCGGCCCGCGUCUGAUUAGCUAGUUGGUGGGGUAACGGCCUACCAAGGCGACGAUCAGUAGCUGGUCUGAGAGGAUGAUCAGCCACACUGGGACUGAGACACGGCCCAGACUCCUACGGGAGGCAGCAGUGGGGAAUAUUGGAUAAUGGGCGCAAGCCUGAUCCAGCCAUGCCGCGUGAGUGAUGAAGGCCUUAGGGUUGUAAAGCUCUUUUGUCCGGGACGAUAAUGACGGUACCGGAAGAAUAAGCCCCGGCUAACUUCGUG
RNAcentral lists this ribosomal RNA (435 nucleotides) under uncultured bacterium. Its description in RNAcentral is "partial 16S ribosomal RNA". It matches the Rfam family "Bacterial small subunit ribosomal RNA", at positions 29 to 507 of the family's 1533-position model. The record is from RNAcentral.